GGCCUCGUAGCUCAGUUGGCUAGAGCGCUGGCCUUCCCCUUGCUGGCGUGGAUUCGAAUCCCACCGAGGCUG
RNAcentral lists this transfer RNA (72 nucleotides) under Schistocephalus solidus. It matches the Rfam family "tRNA". Rfam says of the family: Transfer RNA (tRNA) molecules are approximately 80 nucleotides in length. Their secondary structure includes four short double-helical elements and three loops (D, anti-codon, and T loops). Lineage: Eukaryota; Metazoa; Platyhelminthes; Cestoda; Diphyllobothriidea; Diphyllobothriidae. The record is from Rfam by way of RNAcentral.